RNAcentral lists this transfer RNA (74 nucleotides) under Nephromyces sp. ex Molgula occidentalis. RNAcentral's name for it is "tRNA-Thr". It matches the Rfam family "tRNA". Rfam says of the family: Transfer RNA (tRNA) molecules are approximately 80 nucleotides in length. Lineage: Eukaryota; Apicomplexa; Aconoidasida; Nephromycida. The record is from RNAcentral.
GCUAGUGUAGCUUAAUUGGUAGAGCAGCUGAUUUGUAAUCAGCAGAUCGGGAGUUCGAAUCUCUUCACUAGCUA